RNAcentral lists this ribosomal RNA (494 nucleotides) under uncultured bacterium. Its description in RNAcentral is "bacterial SSU rRNA". It matches the Rfam family "Bacterial small subunit ribosomal RNA", at positions 24 to 518 of the family's 1533-position model. The record is from RNAcentral.
UCAGGAUGAACGCUGGCGGCGUGCCUAAUACAUGCAAGUCGAGCGAGAACUUAGAAGCAGCGAAUAUCAAAGACAGAAAAGGGAAAGCGGCGGACGGGUGAGUAACGCGUAGGCAACCUGCCCUUAGCAGAGGGAUAGCCAUUGGAAACGAUGAUUAAAACCUCAUAACGCUGAACUGACACAUGUCGGAUCAGCCAAAGAUUUAUCGGCUAGGGAUGGGCCUGCGUCUGAUUAACUGGUUGGUGAGGUAACGGCUCACCAAGGUGACGAUCAGUAGCCGACCUGAGAGGGUGAUCGGCCACAUUGGAACUGAGACACGGUCCAAACUUCUACGGAAGGCAGCAGUAAGGAAUCUUGCACAAUGGGGGAAACCCUGAUGCAGCAACGCCGCGUGAACGAUGAAGGCCUUCGGGUUGUAAAGUUCUGAUCUUGGGGAAGAAGGAAGUGACGGUACCCAAGGAGAUAGCCCCGGCUAACUACGUGCCAGCAGCCGC